RNAcentral lists this transfer RNA (131 nucleotides) under Rosellinia necatrix. It matches the Rfam family "tRNA". Rfam says of the family: Transfer RNA (tRNA) molecules are approximately 80 nucleotides in length. Their secondary structure includes four short double-helical elements and three loops (D, anti-codon, and T loops). The record is from Rfam by way of RNAcentral. Lineage: Eukaryota; Fungi; Ascomycota; Sordariomycetes; Xylariales; Xylariaceae.
GGUGAGAUGGCCGAGUGGUUAUGGCGCUGCGUUCAGGAAAUCCUUGAACAAUAUGUCAGGUGUUGGUUUACCAUCCCGAGCAAAAUUUCGCAGUGGAGCAAUCCGCGUGGGUUCGAGUCCCACUCUCAUCA